This 75-nucleotide transfer RNA is filed under the name Xanthomonas phage Samson. RNAcentral describes it as "tRNA-Gln". It matches the Rfam family "tRNA". Rfam says of the family: Transfer RNA (tRNA) molecules are approximately 80 nucleotides in length. Their secondary structure includes four short double-helical elements and three loops (D, anti-codon, and T loops). The record is from RNAcentral. RNAcentral also lists the same sequence under 6 other names. Lineage: Duplodnaviria; Heunggongvirae; Uroviricota; Caudoviricetes.
UGCGCCGUCGCCAAGCGGUAAGGCACCGGAUUUUGAUUCCGGCAUUCGUAGGUUCGAAUCCUACCGGCGCAGCCA